UUUUAUUUGAGAGUUUGAUCCUGGCUCAGGAUGAACGCUGGCGGCGUGCUUAACACAUGCAAGUCGAGCGAUUUAGAUAUUCAACACUGAGCACUUAGUUGAUAGUUAGUAGAAAUUAGACAGCGUCAAGGACGAAAGAAGAGAGUCCUUCACGCGUUAAUAAAGUUUGCUAACACAUUAGACAAAAGACUAAGUAUUGAGUGUUGAAUAUCUGAAUAGCGGCGGACGGGUGAGUAACGCGUGGGAAACCUGCCCUAUACAGGGGGAUAGCCUCGGGAAACUGGGAUUAAUACCCCAUAAAGCUCUAAUACCGCAUGGUAUGUGAGUCAAAACUCCGGUGGUAUAGGAUGGUCCCGCGUCUGAUUAGCUAGUUGGUGAGGUAAUGGCUCACCAAGGCGACGAUCAGUAGCCGGCCUGAGAGGGUGAACGGCCACACUGGAACUGAGACACGGUCCAGACUCCUACGGGAGGCAGCAGUGGGGAAUAUUGCACAAUGGGCGAAAGCCUGAUGCAGCGACGCCGCGUGAGCGAUGAAGGCCUUCGGGUCGUAAAGCUCUGUCCUAAGGGAAGAUAAUGACGGUACCUUAGGAGGAAGCCCCGGCUAACUACGUGCCAGCAGCCGCGGUAAUACGUAGGGGGCGAGCGUUAUCCGGAAUUAUUGGGCGUAAAGGGUGCGUAGGCGGCCUUGUGUGUCAGGUGUGAAAGGCUACGGCUCAACCGUAGUUAGCACUUGAAACUGCAGGGCUUGAGUGCAGGAGAGGAGAGUGGAAUUCCUAGUGUAGCGGUGAAAUGCGUAGAUAUUAGGAGGAACACCAGUGGCGAAGGCGACUCUCUGGACUGUAACUGACGCUGAGGCACGAAAGCGUGGGGAGCGAACAGGAUUAGAUACCCUGGUAGUCCACGCCGUAAACGAUGAGUACUAGGUGUUGGGGUCGACAGGCUUCAGUGCCGCAGUUAACACAUUAAGUACUCCGCCUGGGGAGUACGGUCGCAAGACUGAAACUCAAAGGAAUUGACGGGGGCCCGCACAAGCAGCGGAGCAUGUGGUUUAAUUCGACGCAACGCGAAGAACCUUACCAGGGCUUGACAUCCCUUGGACGAAACUAGAGAUAGUUUUUUCCCUUCGGGGNNNNNNNNNNNNNNNNNNNNNGGACUAAGGUGACAGGUGGUGCAUGGUUGUCGUCAGCUCGUGUCGUGAGAUGUUGGGUUAAGUCCCGCAACGAGCGCAACCCUUGCCUUUAGUUGCCAGCAGGUUAAGCUGGGCACUCUAGAGGGACUGCCGGUGACAAACCGGAGGAAGGUGGGGAUGACGUCAAAUCAUCAUGCCCCUUAUGUCCUGGGCUACACACGUGCUACAAUGGCCGGUACAACGGGCAGCGAACCCGCAAGGGGGAGCGAAUCCCUAUAAGCCGGUCCCAGUUCGGAUUGUGGGCUGCAACUCGCCCACAUGAAGUUGGAGUUGCUAGUAAUCGCGAAUCAGAAUGUCGCGGUGAAUGCGUUCCCGGGCCUUGUACACACCGCCCGUCACACCACGAGAGUUGGUAACACCCGAAGCCAGUGAGCUAACCUUUUGGAGGCAGCUGUCGAAGGUGGGAUUAAUGAUUGGGGUGAAGUCGUAACAAGGUAGCCGUAUCGGAAGGUGCGGCUGGAUCACCUCCUUUCUA
Molecule: ribosomal RNA, 1664 nt
Filed under: Methanosarcina mazei
Lineage: Archaea; Methanobacteriati; Methanobacteriota; Methanomicrobia; Methanosarcinales; Methanosarcinaceae
Description: bacterial SSU rRNA
Rfam family: Bacterial small subunit ribosomal RNA
Source: RNAcentral